CCUUGGUGCUCUCUGACUCAACAUUUGUUCCUCUUCUAAUUGAGAAAGUGAGCUUAAAAAAUCUAGAAAGGGAAGCCAUGGAAUGUGAAAUCAUUCACAGAAUGGGCAUCAUGCAAAGGUGGGAAGCUUUUGAAGUUGAAAAGAUUAUGAAAGAAGGCAUGGCGAAGUAAAUGGCGUUGUCUUCCUACAACAACCCGAACCUUUUUCAACUGGCUAUGACCACUAAUGUGGAGGAGAUGGCUGCAAAUUGUCAGGGAAAGAAUCCACCUGAUAAACCACCUAACCCCAUGAUUGAAGAUCCAGGAUCAUCAGGAAACGGUGAGAGUAACUCUAAGGAACUCGGUUUGAUCUUGACCAGUGGGGAGCCACACUCUAAUUGAUCUGCAUCUCUGGUGACAUCUUUCUCCUAUUUCUUUUAACGAAAUUUUUAUUCUGACAUUAUCGUGGUGUUGGUGGAAGUUCUUUUACUGUUUUAAUUAGAGAUGUUAAAAAAGAAUAUCAUGUUAAUUUUUUUGUUCUCCUUGAAACUUAUAUUAGUGGGGGAUAAAGGAACUAAUAUUAGAAAUAAGUUGCCUUUAAUUUUGACAGUUGUUUUAUAAAGAAAGCCAGAGGACACUCUGGAAGUAUUUGGUGAAAUUUCGAUGAAUGGAGAGUGGAUAUUUUGUAGAGUCAUCAAUAAUUCAUAUAUAUGAGGAUGCUGGAAAAGUACUUACAGCCACGGUUUUUACUGUAGUGUAUGGGGGUCCUCAAAGAGUACAUAGAAGAGAAUUCUGGAGAAACUUGAGGAAGCUGAGUUUGCAGAAUAGUCUCCCUUAGUGCCUGGUUAAGGAUUUCAAUGUGCUUAUGCAUAAUUUUGAAAAGACAAGGAAGAGGAGCCACUCAAUUUAAUGGUGCAUGUGUUGAUUUUCAGGAGUGUGUUUCUGACUAUGGACUUUUAGACUUGGGAUACUCAGUAUAUCCUUUUAUCUGGAAGAGAGGGAACUUGGUCAAAAGAUUAGAUCGUAGUCUGAGCAAUAUGAAUUGGCAAAUCAGAUUUUUGGAAGCUACGAUAAAGCACUUACCUAGAUUAAUCAUGCAUGCUCCUCUCUAUCUCUAACUCUUUACUUUUCCCUCACCUAACAAAUGGCGAAGGCCAUUUAGAUUUUUAGCAUCUUAGUUAUCCCAUCCGGACUUCAAUAAUAUGAUUACUAAUCAUUAGAAAAUAAUUGGUCCCAAGGUGUUACGAACUUUAUAGAUUCUCUUAAAGUAUGAAAUUUCACUGUCUAUGGGAUUAUCUUUAGAAGGAAAAGUAGAAUUCUAACGAGAUUGCAUAGUAUCACGAAUAGAUUGAGUGUGAAUCACAAUCUUUAUCUGGAAGAUCUCUAAGUUACUCUUUGGAAAGAUUAUGCAGAGCUCCUUUUCCAAGAAGAGAUGUUAUGGUUUCAAAAAUCUAGAUGCAAAUGGAUAGAGUACAGCAAUAGAAAUACUAAAUAUUUUCAUGAUACUACUAUGGCCAGAAGAAGGAGGAACAAGAUUACUUUUUUGCAGGAUGAGGCUGGUAAUUGGAUACAUGAUAGUCACACCUUUGAAGUAAUGGCCACAACUUUCUAUACCAAUCUAUAUUGUGAUUAUCUCCUUAAUGUUUCCUUUGUGAUUAAUGUGCUUUUUCGGCAUUAAGUGAUGAAGAUAGGACUCUGAUUGGUGUAAUGUCUACUACAAGGAAAUUAAAGAUUCUCUUUUCAUCAUGGGUAGCUUCAAGGUUCCGGGAAAAGAAGGUAUUCAUGUAGGCUUUUACCAGAAUAAAUGGGAUCUUGGGGGACUGGAUUUGUGCACGAUGAUUGAGAAUAUUUUUGCGCACCCUUAGGAAAUCAAAGAGCUAAAUGAGACGCUUAUUACGCUUAUUCCUAAGAUGGAGCCUGUUACUAAUCUAAAGCAAAUGAGACCUAUCAGCUUAUGUAAUUUAUCUCGUACAAAGUGAUUACCAAAAUUUUGGCCCAAAUGCUGCGGGGGGUUGUGGAAAAGUUAGUGCGGCCAACCCAGUGUAGUUUCAUCCUAGGGAGGCAUAGUUCUGACAAUAUUAUCAUUACACAAAAAGUUAUCCAUACUAUAAGGAAUAAAAAAGGUCUGAAAGGAUGGAUGGUGAUUAAAAUCGAUCUGGAAAAGGCUUAUGACAAACUCAAGUAGAAUUUUAUUGAAGACACUCUGGAUGAUAUUGGGAUGCCCUCUCAGUUUUUCAAUGGUAGCCAGUUGUAUUUCAUCUGUGAGGAUGAGGAUUCUAUAGAAUGGGGAAACCUUGGACGAGUUCUCUCCUUCAAGAGGAAUUUGGCAAGGUGACCCUAUUGCCGUUACAUUUUUGUCUUCUGUAUGGAAAGACUCUCCCAUCCUAUUAAUGCUGGUGUAGAUCAUAGCUUUUGGAAGCCCAUCAAGCUGAACAGAGAGGGCCUUGAGCUUUCUCAUCUAUGUUUUGCUGAUGAUUUAAUUCUCUUUGCCAAAGCAACUAUGGACCAAGCUGAAGUUAUUAAUAAGGUGCUUGAGGCAUUCUGCUCUAGUUCAGGUCAAAAGGUCAGCAAUGAAAAGAAACGUGCCUUCUUCUCGAAUAAUAUGGGUAAUAAUGUGAGAAGUCAGAUAAGCAGUAUCCUUAAGUUCCCUAGAACUGAUGACUUGGGGAAGUACCUUGGUGUUCCUCUCCUCCACUCCAAGGUCUCGAAAAACACAUACAGUGACAUUAUUAACAAUAUAACCUCUAGACUAGAUAGUUGCAAAGCUACUUCAUUGUAUCUAGCAAGAAGAACCACACUGAAAUUUUCUUUGAAGAGAGACGGAACAAUCUAGAAAAAUUCAUCUCAUCAAUUAGAGGGAUCUUAGCAGGCCAAAAGCUUCGGUAGGGCUUGGCAUCCGCCGUGCUUGUGAAGUUAAUCAAUCUUUUAUGAUGAAGAGUAGCCUUAUGAUGAAAAAGGAUGCUUUAUGGGCAAGGAUGGUUAGGGCCAAAUACAAAUGUGGGAGCGAUUUGCUGCCGAGGGUCGAAAGGAAAAAUAACUCCUCGAAUCUCUAGAAAGAGAUAUGUUCGGCUUGGAAGGGGGUCGAUGAGAAAUAAUAUCUGGCGCAUUGGGAUGGCGCUAACAUUAAGUUUUGGAGUCAUAACUGGAUACCCAAUCUUGGAUCUUUAACCUAAUAUUCAGAACAGGUAAUAACAGACUCUAAAUCAAGUUUGUGUCUAAUUGGUUUUCUUUCGGUUUCAGGUGAGUGGUAUGAGAGUAAGCUCAAGGAGUGGCUCCCUGAUUACAUUGUGAGAAGAAUCCAAGCACUAUCGCCUCCGUCUCCAUGGAAGGGUCCAGUUUCUAUUGCUUGGACACUAACUUCUGAUGGGACGUUUAGCCUCAAAUCAGCCUACAGAUUCAUAUCGAAUUUCAAGGUAGUUUGGAAGUGGUGCGAUCCAGAAAGAAUUCAUUCCUUCAUGUGGCUGAUUGCUAACGACACAAUCCUAGCAAAUGUGGAAAGAAGGAGAAGACACCUAGUAACGGAUGCCAACUUUCCCAGAUGUAACCGUCAAGAAGAGAACUCCUUUCAUGUUCUCAGAGAUUGUUUCUAUGCCAAGUGUGUGUGGAGUCUCUUGAAACCUCAUGAGGUUGUGUUCGAAUUCUUUAACCUCAGCCUCAAGGAUUGGUUGACUAGGAAUCUAUCAGCAAUAAGUGACUAGGCUUGUAAGUUUGGAGUAACUAUCAUUUCUCUUUGCUUCUA
Molecule: non-coding RNA, 3717 nt
Organism: Arachis ipaensis
Lineage: Eukaryota; Viridiplantae; Streptophyta; Magnoliopsida; Fabales; Fabaceae
Source: RefSeq, a predicted model, not a curated record